CGGAACCGCGGAACCGGAACCGUAUAACCGGAACCGUUUAGAACCGCGGAACCGCCAGAACCGCGAUUCGGGUCACGGUUCCGGUUCGGAACCGUUAUUCUUCCACCCUUAUCGUGAACCUAUUUGUUUGUUGAAAAAAUGCGUAAUUGUUGGGAACUUGAAAAAUUAAUCAGUAGGGAAUUGAAUUAAUUUAAGAGGAAUUUAGGAGAACAAUUUUUAAAAGUUUUAAAUAUGAAAAGAAAGGAAUAUAUUAUCUGGUAAAGGGGAAUAAAGGAAUUCAGAACUAGAGUAACGCAAAACAUAACUUAAUUAAAGAACCAAAAUAAUGUGGAAAAAAG
RNAcentral lists this long non-coding RNA (338 nucleotides) under Nicotiana benthamiana. RNAcentral describes it as "long non-coding RNA (NBEN_LNC036072)". The record is from RNAcentral. Lineage: Eukaryota; Viridiplantae; Streptophyta; Magnoliopsida; Solanales; Solanaceae.